UACGAAGGGGGCUAGCGUUGCUCGGAAUCACUGGGCGUAAAGGGUGCGUAGGCGGGUCUUUAAGUCAGGGGUGAAAUCCUGGAGCUCAACUCCAGAACUGCCUUUGAUACUGAAGAUCUUGAGUUCGGGAGAGGUGAGUGGAAUUCCUGGUGUAGCGGUGAAAUGCGCAGAUAUCAGGAAGAACACCAGUGGCGAAGGCGGCUCACUGGCCCGGUACUGACGCUGAGGCACGAAAGCGUGGGGAGCAAACAGG
Molecule: ribosomal RNA, 253 nt
Filed under: uncultured bacterium
Lineage: Bacteria
Description: partial 16S ribosomal RNA
Rfam family: Bacterial small subunit ribosomal RNA
Source: RNAcentral